RNAcentral lists this ribosomal RNA (424 nucleotides) under uncultured Nitrosomonas sp. RNAcentral's name for it is "bacterial SSU rRNA". It matches the Rfam family "Bacterial small subunit ribosomal RNA", at positions 202 to 622 of the family's 1533-position model. The record is from RNAcentral. Lineage: Bacteria; Pseudomonadati; Pseudomonadota; Betaproteobacteria; Nitrosomonadales; Nitrosomonadaceae.
AAAGACCUUAUGUUUUCGGAGCGGCCGAUGUCUGAUUAGCUAGUUGGUAAGGUAAUGGCUUACCAAGGCGACGAUCAGUAGUUGGUCUGAGAGGACGGCCAGCCACACUGGGACUGAGACACGGCCCAGACUCCUACGGGAGGCAGCAGUGGGGAAUUUUGGACAAUGGGCGCAAGCCUGAUCCAGCAAUGCCGCGUGAGUGAAGAAGGCCUUCGGGUUGUAAAGCUCUUUCAGUUGAAAAGAAAAGAUCGUGACUAAAAUUCAUGAUUCAUGACGGUAUCAACAGAAGAAGCACCGGCUAACUACGUGCCAGCAGCCGCGGUAAUACGUAGGGUGCAAGCGUUAAUCGGAAUUACUGGGCGUAAAGGGUGCGCAGGCGGUUCUGUAAGUCAGAUGUGAAAUCCCCGGGCUUAACCUGGGAACU